CAUCCCAGCUCGGAUCGCAGGCUGCAACCCGCCUGCGUGAAGUUGGAAUCGCUAGUAAUCGCGGAUCAGCAUGCCGCGGUGAAUACGUUCCCGGGCCUUGUACACACCGCCCGUCACACCAUGAGAGUCGGGAACACCCGAAGUCCGUAGCCUAACCGCAAGGAGGGCGCGGCCGAAGGUGGGUCCGAUAAUUGGGGUGAAGUCGUAACAAGGUAGC
Molecule: ribosomal RNA, 217 nt
Filed under: uncultured bacterium
Lineage: Bacteria
Description: partial 16S ribosomal RNA
Rfam family: Bacterial small subunit ribosomal RNA
Source: RNAcentral